Molecule: ribosomal RNA, 428 nt
Filed under: uncultured Fibrobacterota bacterium
Lineage: Bacteria; Pseudomonadati; Fibrobacterota
Description: bacterial SSU rRNA
Rfam family: Bacterial small subunit ribosomal RNA
Source: RNAcentral
UAGGGAAUUUUGCGCAAUGGGCGAAAGCCUGACGCAGCAACGCCGCGUGAGGGAUGAAGGUCUUCGGAUUGUAAACCUCUGUUGGAUGGGAAGAAAAUCUUCAGGUUAAUACCCUGAAGACUGACGGUACCAUUCGAGUAAGCACCGGCUAACUACGUGCCAGCAGCCGCGGUAAUACGUAGGGUGCAAGCGUUGUUCGGAAUCACUGGGCGUAAAGGGAGCGUAGGCGGAAAUGUAAGUUAGGAGUUAAAUACAUAGGCUCAACCUGUGGUCUGCUUUUAAUACUGCAUUUCUUGAGUAUGGGAGAGGGCGAUGGAAUUCCAGGUGUAGCGGUGGAAUGCGUAGAUAUCUGGAAGAACACCAGUUGCGAAGGCGGUCGCCUGGCCCAAUACUGACGCUGAGGCUCGAAAGCUAGGGGAGCGAACAGG